GCCUGUGAAGGUGUGCUGUGAGGCAUGCUGGAGGUAUCAGAAGUGCGAAUGCUGACAUAAGUAACGAUAAAGCGGGUGAAAAGCCCGCUCGCCGGAAGACCAAGGGUUCCUGUCCAACGUUAAUCGGGGCAGGGUGAGUCGACCCCUAAGGCGAGGCCGAAAGGCGUAGUCGAUGGGAAACAGGUUAAUAUUCCUGUACUUGGUGUUACUGCGAAGGGGGGACGGAGAAGGCUAUGUUGGCCGGGCGACGGUUGUCCCGGUUUAAGCGUGUAGGCUGGUUUUCCAGGCAAAUCCGGAAAAUCAAGGCUGAGGCGUGAUGACGAGGCACUACGGUGCUGAAGCAACAAAUGCCCUGCUUCCAGGAAAAGCCUCUAAGCAUCAGGUAACAUCAAAUCGUACCCCAAACCGACACAGGUGGUCAGGUAGAGAAUACCAAGGCGCUUGAGAGAACUCGGGUGAAGGAACUAGGCAAAAUGGUGCCGUAACUUCGGGAGAAGGCACGCUGAUAUGUAGGUGAAGUCCCUCGCGGAUGGAGCUGAAAUCAGUCGAAGAUACCAGCUGGCUGCAACUGUUUAUUAAAAACACAGCACUGUGCAAACACGAAAGUGGACGUAUACGGUGUGACGCCUGCCCGGUGCCGGAAGGUUAAUUGAUGGGGUCAGCGCAAGCGAAGCUCUUGAUCGAAGCCCCGGUAAACGGCGGCCGUAACUAUAACGGUCCUAAGGUAGCGAAAUUCCUUGUCGGGUAAGUUCCGACCUGCACGAAUGGCGUAAUGAUGGCCAGGCUGUCUCCACCCGAGACUCAGUGAAAUUGAACUCGCUGUGAAGAUGCAGUGUACCCGCGGCAAGACGGAAAGACCCCGUGAACCUUUACUAUAGCUUGACACUGAACAUUGAGCCUUGAUGUGUAGGAUAGGUGGGAGGCUUAGAAGUGUGGACGCCAGUCUGCAUGGAGCCGACCUUGAAAUACCACCCUUUAAUGUUUGAUGUUCUAACGUUGACCCGUAAUCCGGGUUGCGGACAGUGUCUGGUGGGUAGUUUGACUGGGGCGGUCUCCUCCUAAAGAGUAACGGAGGAGCACGAAGGUUGGCUAAUCCUGGUCGGACAUCAGGAGGUUAGUGCAAUGGCAUAAGCCAGCUUGACUGCGAGCGUGACGGCGCGAGCAGGUGCGAAAGCAGGUCAUAGUGAUCCGGUGGUUCUGAAUGGAAGGGCCAUCGCUCAACGGAUAAAAGGUACUCCGGGGAUAACAGGCUGAUACCGCCCAAGAGUUCAUAUCGACGGCGGUGUUUGGCACCUCGAUGUCGGCUCAUCACAUCCUGGGGCUGAAGUAGGUCCCAAGGGUAUGGCUGUUCGCCAUUUAAAGUGGUACGCGAGCUGGGUUUAGAACGUCGUGAGACAGUUCGGUCCCUAUCUGCCGUGGGCGCUGGAGAACUGAGGGGGGCUGCUCCUAGUACGAGAGGACCGGAGUGGACGCAUCACUGGUGUUCGGGUUGUCAUGCCAAUGGCACUGCCCGGUAGCUAAAUGCGGAAGAGAUAAGUGCUGAAAGCAUCUAAGCACGAAACUUGCC
Molecule: ribosomal RNA, 1567 nt
Filed under: Escherichia coli
Lineage: Bacteria; Pseudomonadati; Pseudomonadota; Gammaproteobacteria; Enterobacterales; Enterobacteriaceae
Description: partial 23S ribosomal RNA
Rfam family: Bacterial large subunit ribosomal RNA
Source: RNAcentral